UCAAUGCUAAGCUUGGAGAUUUCGGUCAGGCUCGUACCAUCCUAAAGACUGACCAAACUCACCAUUCAGCAAAAGAGAUUGCAGGAACCCCAGGCUAUAUGGCUCCACAGAGUAUUCUUAUAGGCAGAGCAACUGUUGAGACAGAUGUUUAUGCAUUUGGGGUUCUAGUCAUGGAAGUUGUUUGUGGAAGAAAACACGGUAAAUCAGGAAAACAAUUUUUUCCUAAUCAGAAAAAAUCAGGUAAUUGUUUAUAUAUACAUAUGGUAUUAUCUUAAACAGUAACAAUAAGUGGUAUUCCCAAUUCCCACUCUUGAACUUGAGAACCGCGCCAGUUGGACCACUACAAGUACCAAAACACGUGACUAGGAGGGGCCUUCAUUUCAUUCCCAUCUUCUACCGCAAGAAAUUGCAUAGAGGGAGAGAAAUGAAGACGAGAGGGUAUCGCAGAUCGACAUUGCUGAUUGCUGAGGGCGUUUCCUUGGUCUAUGAAGGAAUCUCCGAAAUUCGGUGUACUUGACAAGACUCGCUCAUUUUUUUAUGAACGACAUUAGCAGCAACAAUAAAGCACUUUCGUUUCCUUCUCUCAUAACCCUAACCUCUGUCUCCGAUCUCAAGGAUCUUGUCUCUUCGCGCCUCGAAGAUCUGAGGAUAAAUCUCAUCGAUCGGUCGCACGUAGAGAUUCUCAAGGACGCGGAAACCUCCUACUCUCGCCGCCACAAACGCUAAGAUAUGAUAAAAGCAUCUCAGCAAAUGAUGGAUGAAACAGGGAGAAUAUAAGAAGAUCAAUGGGCAGAUCAGUGAAACUCAGGAAACAAUGAAGGAAAUUGAUGGUCUCAAAAGGUGUUAUGGAACUUCAUCAACAUAGGGUUAUCUAGACCAAGCUACUACAGAGAAAUUCCUUAAGUAUGUAGAUGUAUCAUUGUAUAUGUAUCUAGCUCAGGAGAUCUAACAGAUAGCUGAGAAGGCAUCCUUGUUAGUUAGUUGAGAAGAAAGUAAUCUGCUAGCAUAUGGCUCUAGCCUCUAAGUAAGUUGACAAGGCCUUAGUGCUAUUGACUGGCUCUACCUCACUUCAUUCUAAGCCAACCGAUUCUUCACAACCCUACCCAAUGAUGUCUCCAAGUUUUUCAUACCUGUGUUGGACGUGUGUACAUAUGUAACCAUGUAGACACAUAAAUCUAAUCCUAUGGAACAUUAUACUCAAUGUCUUGUCUU
Molecule: long non-coding RNA, 1212 nt
Organism: Tripterygium wilfordii
Lineage: Eukaryota; Viridiplantae; Streptophyta; Magnoliopsida; Celastrales; Celastraceae
Exons: 4
Source: RefSeq, a predicted model, not a curated record